Drosophila guanche is the source of this 2703-nucleotide RNA transcript. It is a transcript of the gene named protocadherin Fat 1, with no coding region annotated. The transcript is spliced from 7 exons. NCBI's taxonomy places the organism in Eukaryota, Metazoa, Arthropoda, Insecta, Diptera, Drosophilidae. The record is from RefSeq and is a predicted model, not a curated record.
AAGUGAAAACUGUAUGUGUUUUAUGUGCAGCUAAAGACUUGGUUAAUGCUUUAAUUGGAAUACAAUUGAAAUUGCGGAACAAAAUGUGGAUAAAAGAACAUUGGAUAUGCUACCUGAUUGGCGUCUUCUGCUGGCUUGAUAAGGCCACCAUUGGAGCGAUACUCGACUCGCGCUGCUACCUGGAGGGCGGCGGUUCGGCGGAGAGCUUCCUGGCCACCGAAGAUCUGGCGGUGGGCUCCAUCAUUGGCAAGCUGCGCAUCAAUGGCGAUCCCAAUGCGGAGACAGGCGACAUCAGUCUGUCGCUAAGGGAGAAGGUUGCGCCGGUGGAGAUUCUGGCAGGCAGCAAGGAUCUGGCUCUGUCUGUGGAGCUGGACAAGGAGGGUGUGCGAGGACCCUCUUCGAUUUAUGUGAAUGUUAUAUGCAUAAGGCGACACUCAACGGAUCCGAGCUUCGUCAUUCCCGUCAAUGUGCGCGUGACGGACGUCAAUGAUAAUGCUCCCCAGUGGAUUGGCACACCCUACACGCUGACCCUGUCGGAGGUGACGGUCCCUGGAACGAGGAUACUGCAGGGCGCCCGUGCGGAGGAUGCCGAUCAGCCGGGUCCCUUCUCCACGGUGGAGUAUCAGGUGCUGCCCGGACCCUAUGCGGAGUUUGUGCAGUUCCUCAAUCCCCUCGAGGGCACACUGGUGCUGAAGAAGGCGCUGGACUACGAGCAGCUGCAGAAUUUCACGGUGAAGCUGCGCGCCCAGGAUCAGGGUACGCCCGCGCGCCACUCGGACACGCUGCUGCGCGUGGUGAUCACCGAUGCGGAUGAUCAGAAUCCCAAGUUCCAGCGGGAAUCGUACAGCGCCGAGCUGCCCAAUGACGGUCGUCCGGGGGAGCUGCGCAUGCGCCCCGAGCCUCUGAAGGCAGUGGAUCAGGACGAGGGAAUCUGUGCGCCGAUCCAGUACACCAUUGUCCAGUCGCAGGAUGCCAAGUACUUCCGCAUUCAUCCGCACAACGGACAGAUCACCCUGCUGACGCCCAUUGGCUAUGGGGAGAUUGCACACGGAGCCACGCUGGUGGUGAAGGCCACGCAGAUAGACAAUCCCGAUCGCUAUGCACUGACCACCGUCCAGCUGACGCGUCCCGGCAGCCACAGCGAUCUCAGCACACUCUCCUUUGUCCAGAAGCGUUUCGUGAUGCGCAUACGCGAGGACACGGCGGUGGGCAAUCGCAUCCUGGCGCUGCCCACCAAUAAGCCGGGCAAACACCUGAAGUACACCAUUGCGGAUCCCGUCAACUCGCAGUUCUUCAGCGUGGGCUCGCUGGGGGAGCUGGUGCUGGCCAAGCCGCUGGACUACGAGAAGAUGACGAAGCACGAGUUCCAGGUGCAGGCCACCGACGGCAUGACCAACAGCACAGCGGAGCUGACCCUCGAGGUGAUCGAUGUCAACGAUUGGGAGCCGCGUUUCCGGGAGACCCAUUACGAGUUCAUGGUGCCCAAAAGCCAGUCGCUGCAGUCGCGAACGGACACCUUUGAGGGUGUGCUCAUUGGCAAGGUGGAGGCGGCUGAUGGGGAUCGCAAUGACAAGCUGGAGCUGUCGCUGCGCGGGCAGCAUGCGGGGCUCUUCGAGAUCGAUGCCACGGGCAACAUCUACAUGCGGCCGGAGCAGCUUCAGGGCCUGAACGAGUCGACGGUGCAUCUGAUAGCCAUUGCCACGGACACGGGUGUGCCGCCCAGGAGCACCUCCGUGCCGGUGAGCGUCACCAUGGAGGGCCUGACGCUCGCGCAGUCCGGCUGGAACAGCAAUAUGCUGGGCAUGUUCGCCAUGAUCGUGGGCCUCUUCCUGAUGAUCAUCAUGGCCCUCAGCUGCUACAUUGUGCGCUCCAAGAAGCAGGGCAAGAGCAGCGCCAGCGCCCUGGGCAUCGGUCGGAACAGAGUCCACAGCCAGGCGCACAGCAGCGUCUCGUCCGCCAAUCUGGUGACGCACGAGAAGCUGGCGGGUAAUGGCAACGGGGCCAGCGUGACCAGCGGCGGUGUCUCGGUGCUGCACAUGAAGCACGGCGGCAACAUCACCAUGGCCAAUCCCAUGAACAACGGUCUGCACCAUGUGGCCAGUGGCGCCAGCAGCAGCAUGGCUCUGGGCAGCUCUGCCGCACUCCUGGAGCGGGAACGGGAGCGCGAAAGGGAACGCCAGCGGGAGAGCUAUGCAGCCACAGUUCGCAGCAUCGUGUCGCGCGCCUCGGCCAAUGGCCAGCUGUACGAGGAGGAUGAGAUCGAGCACGACUCGCUGCAGACGUCAACGACGACGCCGGAAAACAACAAUCGAAAAGUGGCAGCCCCAGGAGCUCCAGCUGUAGGUGUAGGAGGUGUGACGACCAUUACCACCAGCAGCUCUGCGAAUGCGGGUGGCCAAUCGAAUCUGCUGUCUGCCACCGAUGCCAUGGGCUCCUCUGAGAACAAUCUGACGGUCUACUUCUAGAAGCUGAAGGAGGAGUUUGUAAAUAUUGCUGCUAAGUCAGUUUAGGUUUAGGAUUAGGGCACAUCCCCCCAUCCAUCCCCCCAGCACUGUUUAUGUACAUUGAGUAGACCAAAUAUAGAGUUGUAAAGAGAACCUCCCGUCCCUGCCCCUGCACACACACACACACACAUGUACUUAGGCUAAGUCCAAGCGAUUUCCAAUGUAAAGUUGUUGCUUCCCACCCGUAACAGAGAGAGCG